Molecule: long non-coding RNA, 559 nt
Organism: Lagenorhynchus albirostris (white-beaked dolphin)
Lineage: Eukaryota; Metazoa; Chordata; Mammalia; Artiodactyla; Delphinidae
Exons: 2
Source: RefSeq, a predicted model, not a curated record
UUCUUUUUAUUACCAAAUAAUAUUCCAUUGUAUGGAAAUACUACAUUUUAUCUAUCCAUUCGUCUGUUGAUGGACAUCUGGGUGGUUUCUACGUUUUGGCUCUUAUGAAUAGUGCUGCUGUAAACAUCUGUGUAAAAUUUUGGUUUGAACAUCUGUUUUCAAUUCUCUUCGGUAUAUACCUGAGACUGGACUUUCUGGAUCAUAUGGUAACUCUGUGCUUAACCAUUUGAGGAACUGCCAGAUUGUUUCCCAAAGCAACUGCACCUUUUACGUUCCUGUCAGCAUUAUGAGGAUUCUAAUUUCUCCAUAUCCUCACUAACACUUGUCAUUCUGAUGAUAACCAUCCAGGGCUCUGCGGAGGUGUGUAAUGCAUUCUGCAAACAAUGAAGUAUACUCAACUAAAUGCUGAAUUGGAUCUAUCAGCUUUAAUCUGCUUUUGUCCUGGAGAUCUAUAAACUAAUGUGUUGUAGGAAGAAAAGUUUUGCUGCCAAAAGAAGUUGGGAAUUUACUCAUUUGUUCCAUUUUUUCUGUCUUCAAAGAAUCAUUCAUUUAAACCACC